UCAACACAUAGCCUCACGCAUAUGUUUCCCUUUCUGACUUAAGCAUCGGAGGGGCGACGAGAAUACACCUCGUUGCCUUUGUUUCAGGUACCGGAAGACCAUUAUCGUGAUCAACCAGAAUCAUCAAGCUCGGAAAAUCAUCAGGUACGAUUUUUGGUAGCAUCAAUUGUGUUUAGUUAAACUUGAAAAUUACGAAUCAGUAACGUCAAAAUAAAUUAAUUUUGGUCCGAUUUCAUACUCGGAGAUGGAAUCAAUGGUUUCAUUUUUUAAUUUUGAGAGAGACUAAUGAAGUUUUCAAAUAUAUACAGAUACACUGUCUAGGAUAAUGGGCUCUAUCAAGGGACCAUUUUUGGGUUGGGCCUGUAUAUGAUGGACUACUUUUACUUGAUAAUAAUAAAGGUGGGAUGGGCCCAUCAGAGAUUGGCUUCAUUUUUCAUCAAACUUCGAAAUUCGUCAUCCAUUGAUUCGUGGCUGAAGUUUUAGUUAGUACCACAAUAAUGCAAUUUAAAACAUAAUAUUAUCCCCUGCUUAAAAAGUAAAUAUCCAUGUCGUGCAUACGUGUCAAGAACAAUUUCCACUUGGCAGACGACAAUUGGCUUCCAACUUUCAAAGGCGAUUCUAUACUUCUUCACUACAUUGUUUCGGGGCCAAAUCCCAUUUGGAUAGAUUCGUUUAUAAUAUUGAGUAAUACUAUACAUUAUUAGUGGCGAUCACCACCGAUCCGAAAUGGAGCUCCUAAUUACUAAUUAUAAAUUUUUUUUUCCGAACUUUUUAAUAAUUAACUUCAACAAGUUCGACAUAUUGACAACAUUUUUUUCUAAAAGAAAGUUAAUUUUUGUUCGUGAUCACGAGUGAUCUUAAUUAAUACAUAUUUCUUAGUCGACAUGGAAGAACAUAAGGGUGAGAAUAUACAUCAUUCAUGGUAAGGUAAUACUAUUAUUUUGCUCAAGUCAAGGCUCGUGUUAUAAUUCAACAGAAAUUCGAUUUUCCUGAAAUUUAUACAAGUGCAUGCUGCAAAAAACACAAGAAGGUAUGUUGAUCGAUUAGUUCAUAGAAGAUCACAUGUACAAUAACAUACCUAGCUUAGUUAUUGACAUUUUAUGCAUAUAUUUAGUUCAAAUUUAAUAAAGUUAUUAAAACUCUAACUUAAAUUUAUGUUUAGUGGGCAAUUAUAUUGAGUGUGACUGGAUAAUAUAAUGAAUGUG
This 1205-nucleotide long non-coding RNA is filed under the name Olea europaea subsp. europaea. Lineage: Eukaryota; Viridiplantae; Streptophyta; Magnoliopsida; Lamiales; Oleaceae. The record is from RNAcentral.